UAACGCGUGGAUAACCUGCCUCACACAGGGGGAUAACAGUUAGAAAUGACUGCUAAUACCGCAUAAGCGCACAGUCUCGCAUGGGACAGUGUGAAAAACUGAGGUGGUGUGAGAUGGAUCCGCGUCUGAUUAGGCAGUUGGCGGGGUAACGGCCCACCAAACCGACGAUCAGUAGCCGGCCUGAGAGGGUGAACGGCCACAUUGGGACUGAGACACGGCCCAAACUCCUACGGGAGGCAGCAG
This 243-nucleotide ribosomal RNA is filed under the name uncultured bacterium. RNAcentral's name for it is "partial 16S ribosomal RNA". It matches the Rfam family "Bacterial small subunit ribosomal RNA", at positions 111 to 354 of the family's 1533-position model. The record is from RNAcentral.